AUAUAAUAAGUAAGUUAGAGAUUAGUAAUUGAAUAUAUAUAAAUCGUAAAGAGAGUAAGUGGGAAAUGAAUUGAUAAGAAUAUGGAAGUAUUGUUGAAUUGAUAUUUGUAGAAUGGAUUAUAUGUUGAAUUAAGACGGAAGUAGUAAGCCUUGGUAUUUUGUAAUUUCAUAAUAUAUUUCAGAUAUCUAGAGUAUAGUCAAUUGUGACACUAAUAGACCUAAUUCAUAAAACUAGUCUUUUUUCGUAUUCAAAUCCAC
This 258-nucleotide long non-coding RNA is filed under the name Physcomitrium patens. Its description in RNAcentral is "long non-coding RNA (PPAT_LNC009906)". Lineage: Eukaryota; Viridiplantae; Streptophyta; Bryopsida; Funariales; Funariaceae. The record is from RNAcentral.